UGGGCAACAGCAUAGUGAGACCAGGAAGCAAAAAAAAAAUGUUCUCACUCAUAUCUUAUUCAGUGAAGGACUUCAGAGACAAAUGUUUCUACCCGACCCUCCUUUCUGCCCCACAGGUCUCCAACUGGUUUGGCAACAAGAGGAUUCGCUAUAAGAAAAACAUCGGAAAGUUCCAAGAGGAGGCAAACAUCUAUGCCGUCAAGACCGCCGUGUCAGUCACCCAGGGGGGCCACAGCCGCACCAGCUCCCCGACACCCCCUUCCUCUGCAGGCUCUGGCGGCUCUUUCAAUCUCUCAGGAUCUGGAGACAUGUUUCUGGGGAUGCCUGGGCUCAACGGAGAUUCCUAUUCUGCUUCCCAGGUCAGAAAGCCCUCCUCUCGAGUAGGGCUUUCCCCAAUUCCAUUUCCCCUACUUUAGGAUACAAGACCUCUUUCCUCUGAGGCUUCUCUUCAGUGUCAUACCUUCCUCUGCUGCCUGCAGGUGGAAUCACUCCGACAUUCGAUGGGGCCAGGGGGCUAUGGGGAUAACCUCGGGGGAGGCCAGAUGUACAGCCCACGGGAAAUGAGGGUGAGUGGAUCCUGAAGCCCCUCUCUGUCCAGUUCUCACAGGACAGAGGGGCAUUUUCCCUAGUAAUGUUGUGCCCACACAGGGUUCCCAGGGCCUUCUCUGUUUUCUGUACUCUGUCUCUCCUUUCAGGCAAAUGGCAGCUGGCAGGAGGCUGUGACCCCCUCUUCAGUGACAUCCCCAACGGAGGGACCAGGGAGUGUUCACUCUGAUACCUCCAACUGAUCUUGCCCCUCAGGGUCACAGGGGUGGGGGCUCUCACAAGGCGACUCUUGAAGAGGACGCAGGCUUCCAGAGGACAAACCCCAAUACAGGAGAAGCACAAGACAGAGAAGGGCCAAUGGGGUCAUCCC
Molecule: small RNA, 916 nt
Filed under: Pongo abelii (Sumatran orangutan)
Lineage: Eukaryota; Metazoa; Chordata; Mammalia; Primates; Hominidae
Description: retained intron
Source: RNAcentral